UAAUUCGAUGAUGCACGAGAAACCUUACCUAGGCCUCGACAUAAGCAUGACGGCUGUAGAGAUACAGCUAGUCUUCGGAGCGUGUGUACAGAUGGUCCAUGGCAGUAGUCAGCUCUUGAUGUGAAGCAUGGGGUUAAGUUCCGCAAAGAGCGCUACCCCUGCUGUCGGUGGCCAACAGGUAAUGCUGCGGACUCGGACAAUUCUCCCGGUGACAAACCGGUGGAAGUUGGGGACGACUUCAAGUCAUCAUGGCCCCGAUGUCCUGGGCUACCCACCUGCUCCUAUGGUCGGUACAGAGCGAAGAGAAACCCAGCAAUAGAGCAAAUCGCAGAAAGCCCGUCCCACUUCGGAAUGAAGUGUGAAACCAGACUUCAUGAAGGAGGAAUCGUUCGUAAUCGCGCAUCAGCAUGGCGCGGUGAAUAUGUUCCCGGGCCUUGUACACCCCGCCCGUCACACCACCCGAGUUGGUGGUACCGGGAACAAGCUCCCUAACCUCUAUCGACGA
Molecule: ribosomal RNA, 505 nt
Filed under: uncultured organism
Description: bacterial SSU rRNA
Rfam family: Bacterial small subunit ribosomal RNA
Source: RNAcentral